GGGGAUUUAGCUCAGUGGUAGAGCGCUUGCCUAGCAAGUGCAAAAGGCCCUGGGUUCGGUCCCCAGCUCCA
This 71-nucleotide transfer RNA is filed under the name Rattus norvegicus (Norway rat). It matches the Rfam family "tRNA". From Rfam's summary of the family: Transfer RNA (tRNA) molecules are approximately 80 nucleotides in length. Lineage: Eukaryota; Metazoa; Chordata; Mammalia; Rodentia; Muridae. The record is from Rfam by way of RNAcentral.